This 468-nucleotide ribosomal RNA is filed under the name uncultured bacterium. RNAcentral's name for it is "partial 16S ribosomal RNA". It matches the Rfam family "Bacterial small subunit ribosomal RNA", at positions 28 to 507 of the family's 1533-position model. The record is from RNAcentral.
GACGAACGCUGGCGGCGUGCUUAACACAUGCAAGUCGAACGGAAAGGCCCUGCUUUUGUGGGGUGCUCGAGUGGCGAACGGGUGAGUAACACGUGAGUAACCUGCCCUUGACUUUGGGAUAACUUCAGGAAACUGGGGCUAAUACCGGAUAGGAGCUCCUGCUGCAUGGUGGGGGUUGGAAAGUUUCGGCGGUCGGGGAUGGACUCGCGGCUUAUCAGCUUGUUGGUGGGGUAGUGGCUUACCAAGGCUUUGACGGGUAGCCGGCCUGAGAGGGUGACCGGCCACAUUGGGACUGCGAUACGGACCAGAAUCCUACGGGAGGCAGCAGUGGGGAAUAUUGCACAAUGGGCGGAAGCCUGAUGCAGAAACGCCGCGUGCGGGAUGACGGGCUUCGGGUUGUAAACCGCUUUCGAAUGUGACGAAGCGUGAGUGACGGUAAUGGGUAAAGAAGCCCCGGCUAACUACGUG